RNAcentral lists this ribosomal RNA (1915 nucleotides) under Curtobacterium sp. MCSS17_011. Its description in RNAcentral is "bacterial LSU rRNA". It matches the Rfam family "Bacterial large subunit ribosomal RNA", at positions 1170 to 2925 of the family's 2925-position model. Lineage: Bacteria; Bacillati; Actinomycetota; Actinomycetes; Micrococcales; Microbacteriaceae. The record is from RNAcentral.
AUGUAACGGGGCUCAAGCACACCACCGAAGUUGUAGAUUUCGCACUAUAGACAAGCCUUCGUGGUUCAGUCGUGCGGAGUGGUAGGAGAGCGUCGUGUGGCGAGUGAAGCGGCGGAGUGAUCCAGCCGUGGACGCUACACGAGUGAGAAUGCAGGCAUGAGUAGCGAAAGACGGGUGAGAAACCCGUCCUCCGAAAGACCAAGGGUUCCAGGGCCAGGUUAAUCCGCCCUGGGUAAGUCGGGACCUAAGGCGAGGCCGACAGGCGUAGUCGAUGGACAACGGGUUGAUAUUCCCGUACCGGCGAACAACCGCCCAAGCUAAUCCAGUGGUGCUAAGAGUCCUAACCCGGUACAACCGGAUCCCUUCGGGGUGAUGGUGGCCGGUCUAACGCUCGACCCCAUGCUGGUGCGGUUAGCGUAUGAACAGGUGUGACGCAGGAAGGUAGCUGAGCCAGGCGAUGGUAUCCGUAAGGUGAACCUGGUGUAAGGAUGUAGGGCUGACGAUAGGCAAAUCCGUCGUCUGUACGCCUGAGAUCCGACGCGUACCCGUCAGGGGAAAUCAGUGAUCCUAUGCUGCCGAGAAAAGCAUCGACGCGAGGUUGCAGCCGCCCGUACCCGAAACCGACUCAGGUGGUCAGGUAGAGAAUACCAAGGAGAUCGAGAGAAUCGUGGUUAAGGAACUCGGCAAAAUGCCCCCGUAACUUCGGGAGAAGGGGGGCCGGACACGUGACCGGAUUUACUCCGUGAGCGUUGAAGGCCGCAGAGACCAGUGGGAAGCGACUGUUUACUAAAAACACAGGUCCGUGCGAAGUCGCAAGACGAUGUAUACGGACUGACGCCUGCCCGGUGCUGGAAGGUUAAGAGGAAGGGUUAGCCUUUGGGCGAAGCUCUGAAUUUAAGCCCCAGUAAACGGCGGUGGUAACUAUAACCAUCCUAAGGUAGCGAAAUUCCUUGUCGGGUAAGUUCCGACCUGCACGAAUGGCGUAACGACUUCCCAGCUGUCUCAACCGCGAACUCGGCGAAAUUGCACUACGAGUAAAGAUGCUCGUUACGCGCAGCAGGACGGAAAGACCCCGUGACCUUUACUACAGUUUGGUAUUGGUGUUCGGAGUGGCUUGUGUAGGAUAGGUGGGAGACUGUGAAGCGGGCACGCUAGUGUUCGUGGAGUCAUUGUUGAAAUACCACUCUGGUCACUUUGGAUGUCUAACGUAGGACCCUGAUCGGGUUCAUGGACAGUGCCUGAUGGGUAGUUUAACUGGGGCGGUUGCCUCCCAAAGAGUAACGGAGGCGCCCAAAGGUUCCCUCAACCUGGUUGGCAAUCAGGUGGCGAGUGUAAGUGCACAAGGGAGCUUGACUGUGAGACUGACAGGUCGAGCAGGGACGAAAGUCGGGACUAGUGAUCCGGCAGUGGCUUGUGGAAGCGCUGUCGCUCAACGGAUAAAAGGUACCUCGGGGAUAACAGGCUGAUCUUGCCCAAGAGUCCAUAUCGACGGCAUGGUUUGGCACCUCGAUGUCGGCUCGUCGCAUCCUGGGGCUGGAGUAGGUCCCAAGGGUUGGGCUGUUCGCCCAUUAAAGCGGUACGCGAGCUGGGUUUAGAACGUCGUGAGACAGUUCGGUCCCUAUCCGCUGCGCGCGUUGGAAAUUUGAGAAGAUCUAUCCCUAGUACGAGAGGACCGGGAUGGACGAACCUCUGGUGUGUCAGUUGUUCUGCCAAGGGCACCGCUGAUUAGCUACGUUCGGACCGGAUAACCGCUGAAAGCAUCUAAGCGGGAAGCCGUCUUCGAGAUGAGAUUUCCAUGCACCUUGAGUGUGAGAGGCUCCCAGCAGACUACUGGGUUGAUAGGCCGGAUGUGGAAGCGGGGACUAACGACCCGUGGAGCUGACCGGUACUAAUAAGCCGAAGACUUGAUAACACA